CCUACGGGAGGCAGCAGUGGGGAAUAUUGGACAAUGGGGGCAACCCUGAUCCAGCCAUGCCGCGUGUGUGAAGAAGGCCCUCGGGUUGUAAAGCACUUUCAGUGAGGAAGAACGCCUGGUGGUUAAUACCCAUCAGGAAAGACAUCACUCACAGAAGAAGCACCGGCUAACUCCGUGCCAGCAGCCGCGGUAAUACGGAGGGUGCGAGCGUUAAUCGGAAUUACUGGGCGUAAAGCGCGCGUAGGUGGCUUGAUAAGCCGGUUGUGAAAGCCCCGGGCUCAACCUGGGAACGGCAUCCGGACCUGUCAAGCUAGAGUGCAGGAGAGGAAGGUAGAAUUCCCGGUGUAGCGGUGAAAUGCGUAGAGAUCGGGAGGAAUACCAGUGGCGAAGGCGGCCUUCUGGACUGACACUGACACUGAGGUGCGAAAGCGUGGGUAGCAAACAGGAUUAGAUACCCUAGUAGUC
RNAcentral lists this ribosomal RNA (465 nucleotides) under Vreelandella stevensii. RNAcentral describes it as "partial 16S ribosomal RNA". It matches the Rfam family "Bacterial small subunit ribosomal RNA", at positions 338 to 795 of the family's 1533-position model. Lineage: Bacteria; Pseudomonadati; Pseudomonadota; Gammaproteobacteria; Oceanospirillales; Halomonadaceae. The record is from RNAcentral.